ACACGACUACAUUAGAUACCCGGGUAGUCGUAGCCGUAAACGAUACUCGCUAGGUGUCGGCCACGGUGCGACCGUUGUCGGUGCCGUAGGGAAGCCGUGAAGCGAGCCACCUGGGAAGUACGGCCGCAAGGCUGAAACUUAAAGGAAUUGGCGGGGGAGCACCACAACGGGUGGAGCUUGCGGUUUAAUUGGAUUCAACGCCGGAAAUCUUACCGGGACCGACAGCAACAUGAAGGCCAGGCUGAAGACUUUGCCGGAUUAGCUG
Molecule: ribosomal RNA, 265 nt
Filed under: uncultured archaeon
Lineage: Archaea
Description: partial 16S ribosomal RNA
Rfam family: Archaeal small subunit ribosomal RNA
Source: RNAcentral